Molecule: ribosomal RNA, 492 nt
Filed under: uncultured bacterium
Lineage: Bacteria
Description: partial 16S ribosomal RNA
Rfam family: Bacterial small subunit ribosomal RNA
Source: RNAcentral
AGUGAACGCUGGCGGUAGGCCUAACACAUGCAAGUCGAACGGCAGCACAGUAAGAGCUUGCUCUUACGGGUGGCGAGUGGCGGACGGGUGAGGAAUACAUCGGAAUCUACUUUUUCGUGGGGGAUAACGUAGGGAAACUUACGCUAAUACCGCAUACGACCUACGGGUGAAAGCAGGGGAUCUUCGGACCUUGCGCGAUUGAAUGAGCCGAUGUCGGAUUAGCUAGUUGGCGGGGUAAAGGCCCACCAAGGCGACGAUCCGUAGCUGGUCUGAGAGGAUGAUCAGCCACACUGGAACUGAGAUACGGUCCAGACUCCUACGGGAGGCAGCAGUGGGGAAUAUUGGACAAUGGGCGCAAGCCUGAUCCAGCUAUACCGCGUGGGUGAAGAAGGCCUUCGGGUUGUAAAGCCCUUUUGUUGGGAAAGAAAAGCAGCAGGUUAAUACCCCGCUGUUCUGACGGUACCCAAAGAAUAAGCACCGGCUAACUUCGUG